Molecule: non-coding RNA, 35 nt
Filed under: unclassified sequences
Description: DUF805b RNA
Rfam family: DUF805b RNA
About the family: Bacteroidetes, Chlorobi (1 example), Proteobacteria. Lineage (Flavobacteria)
Source: RNAcentral
UGGGCGGAAUCCGAAAAGCCAUAACAGAGUAGGAA